GGAGAGGAGGGCAGGUUCAUGUAGGUUAGAAAAGAGGAAAGUUAACGUGUUGUUUUUGGAAUCAGGGGAGAGACCGUUCCGAUGCCGCCUCUGCCCGUACCGAGCCUCUCAGAAAGGGAACCUGAAGACCCACGUCCAGAGUGUCCACCACGUACAUUUCGACAACGCCCAGUACCCUGAUUACAGACCACCGGGACUGGGCCCCGAGCAGGACGAGGAGCAGGGGGACUGGUUCUCACCCACCACCACCGAUCCACCGCGACCUAAUAACAGACCCACCAACGUGACAACCCCAGGGCCUAAGAUAGAGCUAGAGACUCCAUCCAUAUUCCCAACCCCUCCC
This 343-nucleotide long non-coding RNA is filed under the name Salmo salar (Atlantic salmon). RNAcentral describes it as "lncRNA (ENSSSAG00000088094.1, ENSSSAG00020029075.1, ENSSSAG00075007529.1)". Lineage: Eukaryota; Metazoa; Chordata; Actinopteri; Salmoniformes; Salmonidae. The record is from RNAcentral.